Molecule: ribosomal RNA, 468 nt
Filed under: uncultured bacterium
Lineage: Bacteria
Description: partial 16S ribosomal RNA
Rfam family: Bacterial small subunit ribosomal RNA
Source: RNAcentral
GACGAACGCUGGCGGCGUGCUUAACACAUGCAAGUCGAACGGAAAGGCCCUGCUUUUGUGGGGUGCUCGAGUGGCGAACGGGUGAGUAACACGUGAGUAACCUUCCCUUGACUUUGGGAUAACUUCAGGAAACUGGGGCUAAUACCGGAUAGGAGCUCCUGCUGCAUGGUGGGGGUUGGAAAGUUUCGGCGGUUGGGGAUGGACUCGCGGCUUAUCAGCUUGUUGGUGGGGUAGUGGCUUACCGAGGCUUUGACGGGUAGCCGGCCUGAGAGGGUGACCGGCCACAUUGGGACUGAGAUACGGCCCAGACUCCUACGGGAGGCAGCAGUGGGGAAUAUUGCACAAUGGGCGGAAGCCUGAUGCAGCAACGCCGCGUGCGGGAUGACGGCCUUCGGGUUGUAAACCGCUUUCGCCUGUGACGAAGCGUGAGUGACGGUAAUGGGUAAAGAAGCACCGGCUAACUACGUG